CACCCUGCCCGCCACCCCGGCGUCUGGGCGCGAGCGCGGCCGCUCGCCCUCUCCUCCAGCCCACCUCUCACCUCGUCCCUAGCUCCACCGAGCACUUUCUGCUGCCUGCCGUAGCAGCCUGCAGCCAGAGCCCUACACCACUCCUACCGCUGGCAUUACAUUUUCAGGCUGGAUGCUAUAGGGCCGUUUCUAAUUACCUUAUAUCCCCUAGUGGUCUAUGAAUAAUGGAUCUAAUCUGGCUACUGUGUUCUGGAAGAGGAGGAGAGAGAGGCAGCAGGAGAGAGAGAGAGAGGCGAGCAAGAAACAUCGCAGGUAUUGUUGCAAGCUCUAUCUUUGUGCUUUUUGCCUUUUCCUUCUCUUUUUAUUUACGCUGCAGCAGAAUUUGGAGGUGGUGGGGGGGAGAGUAUGCACGGAGCUUUUUCCAGAUUUAUUUUUCUCCCGUGCAACUCGUGUGCCGUUGCGAAGGAAUCAAUGCACAGUGCUGGCGUCGCAGAGUUUGUGGGGGGUGCGUGUGUGCGUGUGUGUGUGUGCGUGUGUGUGUGUGCGUGUGUCCUGUUUGCAGCCACUGGAGAGGAGGGGGUAGUUUUGCAUUUCUGGAAGUAAUAAAGAAAUUUGCAGCCGGUCCAGAAAUCCUACUGACUUGCCGAUUGAUGAGUAUCUGAACAAAGAUACCGCUGAGACUUGGAAUAUUUAUGUAUUUGUGUGUGUAAGAGAUUGAUUCGUUUUGCUUGUCCUGACUUCUACUUUUCUGAAGUUAAAAUAAUAACGAGCAGGGGGUUGCGAAAGGAUCGGCAAAUGCAGGCUUUCAAAGGAGGGCUUAUUUUAAUUUGGGAGUUAUUGAUGUGCAUGUUUUUCUACUUAUAAAAGUUGCAGUGUCGCCGCGAUUAGGCAUCUCGCUGUCCUCGCUGUUGUCUGCACGUGAGAACGCCGACUUGAUCUAUUUUCUUUCUUCUCUUUGGUGGAUCGCAGGCUCACGGGGCAGAAAAAAUGGUUCUAGCAGAUAUGCAAGUAAUCACAGGGUUUGCACAUCUGGCUGUGCGUUUGGAAAGCCCCUCGGUGGGACUUUCACAUACCCUCCUGCUCCCUUUCUCCCACGGCAAAUUUAUACAGAAAUCAUCCGCUGACAUUAAUAAACAAACAAACCAGCCAACA
RNAcentral lists this long non-coding RNA (1152 nucleotides) under Struthio camelus australis. RNAcentral describes it as "lncRNA (ENSSCUG00000018280.1)". The record is from RNAcentral. Lineage: Eukaryota; Metazoa; Chordata; Aves; Struthioniformes; Struthionidae.